This 2304-nucleotide unclassified non-coding RNA is filed under the name Leishmania donovani. Its description in RNAcentral is "gene:unknown". Lineage: Eukaryota; Euglenozoa; Kinetoplastea; Trypanosomatida; Trypanosomatidae. The record is from RNAcentral.
CUUUCCCCUCACACACGAUCUAACUCUACAUUCCGCCAACGCCUGCCACAAUUAUUCGUUGGCACAAUCAAUAAACGCGAAAGCUUUUCUUGCGGGCGAAGUUGUUUUCUCUAAUCGUAAAAAAUCUCUGCCGCUCAGCCCUGCGUUGCCCCUCGUGAUCUUUACGCCUGUUUCUUAACCGUCUCGUCCGGGACGCCGCUUUCCCCACCAAGCGUUUUCACGAAAGUAAUCUUGGCUUGUUGGCAAUUUCGCCGCACCAAGACGGCCAACGGCUUUGAAAAGUUCAGACCCCACGCGCGCGGGCGUCUGCUUCAAUACGCCGGCUUUAAAGAAUCCCGCUGGCGGCCCUUUUUCCUGAUGCCGUUAUGCGUUUUUCUUCUUCGAGGGCCCUCAAAAACUUUUCCGCGCCCAUCGUUCUUUGCAGAAGGCCAAACUCCUUUUGCAGGGGCUUUUCGGGUUUCAUGAUAUUUGAAAGGGUUCUCUGGGCGUUUGGCGCCGUGGUGGUCCGGCUUUGUUGUUUUUGGCGGCCCGGGCCCGUCGCGCCGGCGCGCCCCGCGAAUCGCUUCGCGGCUGCGGGGGCUAUGCCGGUCGCCGCGCGUCGUCCUCGCGGUGGCGGGGCCCAAAGCCGGUGGGCGCCGAGGGCCGGGGGCGAGGGGCUGGCCCACGCGGACGCCCCGACCCCCGCAUGGGCGGGGCAAAGCGUUUUUGCCGCCGCAGGUCGCACAAGCGCGGCGCCAUGCAGGGCGGGGCCGCCAGCUUUUUUUCUAAACCACCGAGCCGGCCCCUUACGUCGUCAGCGCUUGGCGCCGUCUCGGCUUUUUUGCGGGUGGCUGGAAUAGAAAGGGGGAACGUUGGUUUGCUUUACCCAAGGCGCGGUGUCAGGGCCAGCGGUUCUACAGGCUGGUUGUUGUUUCCACCUUUUUUGUGGGGAUAGGCGUUAAAAAAAGCUGCGGGAGGCCAUGGAGCCAUCAGAUGUUCAAGAGGUUUUAGGGCUGCGUGUUCGUUAGGAGCGCUUUGGGGCGUAGGUUUUUGUGCUCAGCUCGAGUGUUGAUAGCUAUAUUUAGGGUUCCAGCUGCCUAGAGCCGCUGCGGUCUUUUAGACUUGCGAAGGUAGACGCUAGGAGGGAACUUGGGCUUUGUGCGUAUACCGUGCUUCGGCACAGCUGCGUGUGGCGUUUUGUUGGUGCAUUCCCCGUUUCUCUAUUGCGAACUUUUUCAUGACCGCGUGUCGGAAAAACUUGCCCUGGAGACUAGUUUGCUUCAUGGGUGGGUGUUUGCUCUCUUGUGUUGAAACCCUUCACGCUGAUUCGUGGGGUAAUUCAGGUUUGGGGUUUGUUAACUUUGAGGCUUGGGCCGUCUCCUUUUCGGUUUUACAUGGGACGGAGGGAUGUGUUUUCAAAGAGCUUAAUCACACCGAGGGCAGUUUUUGUGGUAUGAAGACUUAUCUUAUGGGCAGGACGCAUUCUCUUGAGGGUUUCGCCAGCUCAGUCCGCGAGGCGGUGGGUGGCCGGGGGGGGGCAUUUUUUCAAAAAAGUAGUGGUGGGCUAAAAGCCUUGUGUGUGGGGGGGCGUCGGGUAUGCGGAUCCCGGUCGCGCCGCAUUGUGCGAAGGAAGCGGAAUUUGUUAUUGGCGGCUUUCCAAGAAGCGUGAAGCAAACUGAAAAAAAAGAUUUUUUUCCGCCUUUCGUUUAGCGUCUUUUAACAGUUGUGGCGGUCUCGGCGUGGUAGUUGGCGAUUCGGUGGCCUUGUGAACUGUGAGUGUGCCGUGGACGUGCAAUUUGUUUGGUAGACACAGAGGCCAGCGCUGUGAGUAUUGGUACAGUGCGCCGUACUUGUCCGCUCGAAAAACCCUUUGGUUGGCAACGUCAGGGGCGAAUGACGCUCCCCUGCCACGCUCGUCAAUAUGCGAUGUUCUUAUGCCGCUGGCAUUGAGGCGUCUUGUGAUUGCCACUGCUGUGUUGUGGUGCUGCAGUGUUUGCCAUCGGAAAAAAGAAAAAGAUGAACAUGCAGAGCGCGCUGAUUUUUGCCUGCGCGCAAACCAUCAGCGCAAGCGCUACGGAAGAGAGAAAUGAAGCGCUGACCCUCGAGAAAUUGCAAUAAUCCGUUGAGUCUGAAAUCGGAAGUGCCUCGAGAGUUAUUUUCCUUCGUACUGCGGCUUCCACCUUCGAGCCGGAGUUUCACAUUCCCCACCGCAGGAGAAGCAUCUCUGGCUUUCAUUUCCAGCGCCUAGCCAGACUUUUUCCUGCGCUAUCACUCCACGUGAGUCUUAUUGUCUACGCAACUGAUCUUCGGUUUCUCGCGUUACAG